GACGGAGGAGGCAAGCGUUAUCCGGAAUUAUUGGGCGUAAAGGGUACGUAGGCGGCUGGUCAAGUCUGGGGUCAAAGGCCACAGCUCAACUGUGGAAAGGCCCUGGAAACUGACCGGCUAGAGUGAGGUUGGGGCUGCGGGAAUUCCCGGUGCAGCGGUGAAAUGCGUAGAGAUCGGGAAGAACACCUGAGGCGGAAGCGCGCAACUGGGCCUCAACUGACGCUGAGGUACGAAAGCGAGGGGAGCGAAUGGG
RNAcentral lists this ribosomal RNA (253 nucleotides) under uncultured bacterium. RNAcentral describes it as "partial 16S ribosomal RNA". It matches the Rfam family "Bacterial small subunit ribosomal RNA", at positions 524 to 776 of the family's 1533-position model. The record is from RNAcentral.